RNAcentral lists this ribosomal RNA (460 nucleotides) under uncultured bacterium. RNAcentral's name for it is "partial 16S ribosomal RNA". It matches the Rfam family "Bacterial small subunit ribosomal RNA", at positions 338 to 795 of the family's 1533-position model. The record is from RNAcentral.
CCUACGGGUGGCAGCAGUGAGGAAUAUUGGUCAAUGGACGAGAGUCUGAACCAGCCAAGUAGCGUGAAGGAUGACUGCCCUAUGGGUUGUAAACUUCUUUUAUAUGGGAAUAAAAUGUUCCACGUGUGGGAUUUUGUAUGUACCAUAUGAAUAAGGAUCGGCUAACUCCGUGCCAGCAGCCGCGGUAAUACGGAGGAUCCGAGCGUUAUCCGGAUUUAUUGGGUGUAAAGGGAGCGUAGGUGGAUUGUUAAGUCAGUUGUGAAAGUUUGCGGCUUAACCGUAAAAUUGCAGUUGAAACUGGCAGUCUUGAGUACAGUAGAGGUAGGAGGAAUUCGUGGUGUAGCGGUGAAAUGCUUAGAGAUCACGAAGAACUCUGAUUGCGAAGGCAGUUCACUGGACUGCAACUGACACUGAGGCUCGAAAGUGUGGGUAUCAAACAGGAUUAGAUACCCCAGUAGUC